ACUCCUACGGGAGGCAGCAGUGAGGAAUAUUGGACAAUGGGCGGGAGCCUGAUCCAGCCAUGCCGCGUGCAGGAAGACUGCCCUAUGGGUUGUAAACUGCUUUUAUACGGGAAGAAACACUCCCUCGUGAGGGAAUUUGACGGUACCGUAAGAAUAAGGAUCGGCUAACUCCGUGCCAGCAGCCGCGGUAAUACGGAGGAUCCAAGCGUUAUCCGGAAUCACUGGGCGUAAAGAGCGUGUAGGCGGAUAGAUAAGUCAGGAGUGAAAUCCUAUGGCUCAACCAUAGAACUGCUCUUGAAACUGUCAAUCUAGAGUAUGGGAGAGGUAGAUGGAAUUUCUGGUGUAGGGGUAAAAGUCCGUAGAGAUCAGAAGGAAUACCGAUUGCGAAGGCGAUCUACUGGAACAUAACUGACGCUGAGACGCGAAAGCGUGGGAGCAAACAGGAUUAGAUACCCUGGUAGACUGUCAU
RNAcentral lists this ribosomal RNA (469 nucleotides) under uncultured bacterium. RNAcentral's name for it is "bacterial SSU rRNA". It matches the Rfam family "Bacterial small subunit ribosomal RNA", at positions 335 to 803 of the family's 1533-position model. The record is from RNAcentral.